RNAcentral lists this long non-coding RNA (13161 nucleotides) under Gossypium barbadense (sea-island cotton). RNAcentral describes it as "long non-coding RNA (GBAR_LNC018817)". The record is from RNAcentral. Lineage: Eukaryota; Viridiplantae; Streptophyta; Magnoliopsida; Malvales; Malvaceae.
GGGCCGUUAAAUAUGCACUGUAUUUUUGGGACUGCUGGAUAUGGAGACAGCUUUGUUGUAGGGUGAAUUCCUUUGGUGAUGUUACGAAUACUAUAGGGAAAUUGUAUUGGGAUUUUUGUAUUUUGUGAGAUUUUUGGCCUGGUUUGGAUAGCUUAAUCAUGAAAACCUGAGAUUCCUUGAACUUUUUCUUUUUAAAUUAUUAUUUUCAAAAUCUGCCCUUAUAGGAUCUGAACAAGUCAGAAACUAUUGAAUUCGGAUUAAUAGUAAAAAGAAUAAUUUGAUUAGAUUCCUAUAAUGGAGGAUCUCUCGCCUAAAAUAAAUUCCUUUCAUUUUUUCAAAUCUUAAGACAUAACAAGUCCACGUUUUGGGUUGAAUUUGAGCUUAAUCAAUUAUUAAUUUUAGUGUACUGAACUGAAUUAUUAUUAAUUAAUUUUUUUAAUUUUUUAACUGUUAACCGAAUCGCUUUUUUUAAAUUAAUUGAACUAAAAUAUUUCAGUUAAUUUAGUCGGUUAGUCGAAUUAAAUGAAAUAUAUAUAUUUUUUGUUAAAACAAGUAUAAAACAUAAAAAAAAUUGAUAAUUUUCAUUUGACUGAAUUAUCCGAAUUAAAAUUACAUAUAAUUUGUAUUAUUAAUUAUUAAGUUUGGUUAAUUACUCGAUUUCGAACCGAAUUAACUAAUAUUCAAACUUUCAAAAAAUCAUUAGCCAACCUCUGACCGAAUUAGAUCGGUUAAUCGAUCGAUUAACCGAAUUAGAUCUGUUCGGUCGGUUAAUUCGGUUUUAACCAAAAUUUGAACACCCCUACUUUAGCGCACUUGAAUCCAUGUCCUCCUACACUGGCAACAAUCCCGAUGCCAACCGAGCUAAGACUCAAUUGACAUUUUUCAUUUGCUUUUUUUUUUCUCAACUUUUGGUUGUUUCAAAAUAUUUUACUUGAGUUUCGAUUGUUUUGAGUUUGUGUCAUUUUAAACUUAGAUAAUUUAGGUUGGGGUUCAUAUAGUAAAAGUAUCAUGGAAACCCUUGUACUAGGAAUCAGUUUGCAUUUUACAUUCUUUACUUUAAAAAUGGACAGUUAGUCCCUAUAUGUUAGAUCAAAGAACAAAUUGACCGUUUCAAUUAAAGUUUUCAUCCAUUACUACUAUUAAAAACUGGUGUGACCAAUGGAAUAACCGGACAAUCACACGUAUACCUCCAUAAUACUUUUACCAAUUUCAAAUAUUUAUUCAAAUGGUUAGAGGUGGAUAUCAUUUUUAAAUUUGAGUUAUUAAAUUUGUGAUUAAAUCAGAUUUGGGUGGAAAUUCUAGAUUGGGAUCAUAACAAUCAAGAAAAUCAUGUAUAAAAAUAGAAGUGGAUUAUUGGGAAAGUUUGGAACAAUUUGGAACAAGGUGCUGACCUUUCAUUAUCAAAGUCAAACAAUAAAUAAAUGAAAAAGGUUGGUGAGAAGGUUAGGCCAAGAGGCAUAGAGAGACCAGUAAAUAGGUGUAGCGCACGUUUCCAGCUUAGCCUCGCUGCUCAGCAUCGCCAAUUCCCCAUCUAACAUUCUUACUCUGAUAUUAUAUUUCACCCCCCAAAAAACAAUCACUACACAAUAUAACUAAACUAUUGUUGACUUGAUUUUUAAAAAAUUAUAAAAUAUUCACAGAAUUAUUCGAAAAUUUUUAUUUACAUAAGUGAGUUAUUAAGGUUUUUUUUUAAAGUUUGACUAAUGAACUUCAAGGAAUAAUUUGAUGAUUUGUAUAGUAGAUUAAUACUCAUUGUCGAGUAGAAGAGCAUACAUUAGAUUCAAGUCGAUUUGACGAUCAAUGUUGGAGAGUAGAGAAGAAAGUUAUUUUGAUUUUGGUUCGCAGAUUCAUUACAUUCAAUAAUGUUUCAUGAAAAAAAAUGUAGAAGAGGAGGAAGUUAGCUUUUGAUUGGUUCAAGUUGUGCGAAUAGAGAAUAUCACAUUGCAGGAAAUUUAACAGUCCAAUGACUUAAAUAAAUACUUUCGAAUGGUUUAAUGACCAUUUUAUAACUUUUUGAAGUUGAAUGAUCAAAACAUAAACUUACUAAUAGUUUAAUGACUUUGAGUGUAGUUUACCCUCAAAAAAUUAGAAUAAAGUCUAAUUUGUACAAAAAUUUAAAAUACAAAAUUAGUAUAAAAACAAAAUUUUAAACCGAAUUGAAUUAUUGUGAGCAGUUAAAAAUUCAAAAAAACCUGAUCAAAACAUAAACUUACUAAUAGUUUAAUGACUUUGAGUGUAGUUUACCCUCAAAAAAUUAGAAUAAAGUCUAAUUUGUACAAAAGUUUAAAAUACAAAAUUAGUAUAAAAACAAAAUUUUAAACCGAAUUGAAUUAUUGUGAGCAGUUAAAAAUUCAAAAAAACCUGAUCAAUUUGAACUAAACUCACCCCUUGCCACAAUUAGGUAUGACAAAAAAAACUCAAACUUGAUACGUUCUCACCCGACCUGAUCCGAUAAGAUCAUAUUUUGUUGUUUUUGAAAUUGAGUUUGGAGACUAGUUGAGAUGGGUCAAAUUAUUCACCUUCUCGCCACACGACUAGACUAGGCUGUACCUUUAGUAAUAUUAAUUCUCGGCGGCAUCUACUUCCCACAAACCUGUUUAUGGCAGCAAAUUAAUAGAUAGUUAAUGAAAUUAUGAAUUUGUGUGCACAUAAUGUUCAACCACUAAAAUUAAAUGACCGAUCGGGGUUUUAAAUCUAUACUUUUAGUAAGCUAAGUUAUUGAAUUUCGUAAAUCUAUCAACUAGGGCGAAAUUAGAAAUUUUGUGUACCAACAUUGAGAUACUUUUGAGGGAGCUAAAAGAUUUAAUGGAAGGAUUUAACGAGGGGGCUAAAUUAAAUUCUUAAAUUUUUAGAAGGGAUAAAUAGGAAAUUGGACCAUUUAAACAAAAGGGCCAAAGCUAUUGGCCUCUGGCUUCGCCCCCCUAUCAAUUUCAACUCAAAUCCAAAUAUGAUCCACCCUAUUUUAUUGUAAAAAAGUCAAUACACCUUAAAUUGAUGAAACGAAAUUUAAUCUGAUUUGAAAUUUACAUAGACGCAAAUUCAUAAUUAUCUGAACCUAAAAUGACUCCGACCAAUAACUCAAAAUACUUAGAAUUUGAAUCUCACACCAAGGGAUGGAGAUAGAAUUUUCUUUUGAGAGGGCUAGAAUUGAAUAAAAAAAAUUUUCAAUGCCAAACCGUAAACUUUUUCAUUGUAUUACUUUGUAUUCUAACAACUUUUAAAGGGACUAUAAAAUAAUUUUAUCAUUGGCAAGAGUGCAAGCAAAAAUCUUACUAACUUUCUUAGCAUUCCCAUUUCCCCAACCAAAAUAGCUCAGGAAAUUUCAAAUCCCAACAUGUAAUAGUCCGUUUUCAGUGAAAUCAGAAUAGUGGUUUCGGGACCACAAAUCUGAGUCCGAAAGAAAAAUAAUUUUAAUAUUAUUUCAUGGUCUGCAUUAUGAUUGAAAUAUCGUAUAAAAAUCUUGUUAAGAAAAUUUUACUGAUUUUAUGUUUAAUUUGAGAGAAAGGACCAAAUUUUAUAAAGUGCAAAAGUUGAAUUCUAGUAGCUAGAGUGAUCAAAUAGCUAUGAAAUUCAAAAUUGAAUAGGUGGAGGAGGUGGCAUAGACGGCACUGGUGAUGCCUCUGGCAGAUGCGGCACCACGGUGGCAGGCGAUGAGACUGCUCAUGCAGGGUAUUUGUUUUUAUUAUGUGUUUGGGGACCUUAUAAUGAUCCCCAAGGUUCAUUUUUGGCCGGUGAGUAAAUGAGAAAAAAAGAAGAGACGAAGCAAAAGGAGAAGGAGAGGGCAGGAAGGGAAGGAAAGGGAAAAAAAAGAAAAAAAAAAAGAGGAGAGAAUGAGAAUAGAGACAGGGAAGCAGAAAGAGAAGGAAAAAAAUAAAUAGAAAAGGAAAGGGGAGUUUGUUUUGUUGUUUAGGAAAGAUUAGGGAUUUAAGGAAAGGUAAUUUUUUUGUUAUAAAUUAAUGGAUUAAUGUUAAUUUAAUUUGUUUUCGUUGUUAUUAUUGUUGAUUUAAUUCGGAUUUAAUUUUUAAAUUUCUUUUUGUAAGGUAUUAUUUGGUUAAAAAGAGCUAUUAAGGUAUGAUUGUAUUUAUUUUAUAUUUUCAUUCAUUCAUAAUUUAUUUUUAAUGUUUAUUGAAGUAAAAAAGCCUAUUUAUGUUAUGUACAAAGAAUGCCUUAUUUUUUUAUGUAAUUUAUUUUUUAUGUGUGUUUUAGGCUGGUUAGAUUUAUUUUUUAUGAAAUUUAUUUGGCAUGUUAUUUUGAUUAUUUUAAUUUUAUUUUUUUAUUUUUUAUGUUGGUAAAGAUGAGACCAUUGAUAUGAAAUUUGGAAUUUGUGAAAUAAAUUAGGAAUUAGUUGAUAUUUUUAAUGUUUAAUGUUUAUUGAAGUAAAAAAGACCAUUGAUUUAUUUAUUUUUAUUUUUUUAAUAUUUUAUAAUUGAGAAUAAGAGUUUAUGUUUUUAAAUUUUAUUUUAUGUUAUUUUUAUUAUUUUAAUUUUUUUUGUAUUUUAUGCAAGUAAAAGAUUAAACCAUUGAGAUGAAAUUUGUGAAUGUGACCAUUGAGUUGGAAUUUAUAAUAUAUAUUUAUUUUGUUAAUGUAGUAUAACAAAAAAAUAUGAUGUGGACAAAAUUGUUUGGUAUUUUUCUGUAAUUAAAAGCAAUAUAUAAAAUUUAAGUAUUUUGAUAAAUAUUUAAAAUCCAUCAAACUUUGAAAUUAAUAACCGAAAUUUGUUUUGAAAUUGCAGGUAUCGCAAUAGGUUCAUUGAUUAAGAACGAUGGUCACAUAUCAAACACAGUUAAUAAUAUGGUAAUAUAUUGUUAUUUGUUAAUCACAGGUUCCCUUAAAAAAAGAUCUACGUAAUUUACAGAAAUAAAUUAUGUUAUUAUAACUAUUUUUUGUUAUUUAAUACUGUCAAGGCCCGUACCGUGCAUUAAGGGGUCGGGUGAAUGGUUUAGAAUAUUCCCCGGAUGAACGACUGAUGCCAUACUUGGAGUUAAAUGGAUUCGGGUCAGCAGCAUUGAUCCAGACGUUUAAGAGUCUUGUCCGCCGAUGCUCAGUCCAAUUUUACGAGUUUGAAAUUUUCAUGGCUGAAAGCCAAUUUUGAACAUUUAUCAAUUAAUGCCACUUAGCAUGAGGUGAUGUGCGCAGCUCGAGCAUACAUUAUGCAUAUUGUAGGGGGUGUACUGAUGCCGGAUGCGAACAACAACAGGGUUCAUUUGAUGUAUUUACUCGUAUUAGCUUAUUUGCAGAAUGUUCGUUUACAACAGGCUAUGUUGUAUCGUGAGCUUUGUCGGACAAUAAAGCCUGAUGCCGUAGAUAUAGGCAGAUGCCUUGUAUUGUUGCAGUCAUGGGCUCUUUAUCGGAUGUCAUUUUUGGCAUCGGUUAGGCACCAACCAUACGUAUUUUCACUAAUGAACAAGUGAUAAAAUUUAAUUUGUUAUUAAUUAACAUUUUUUUUUCUAAUUAUACUAUUCUAACGAUACUAUUCUAACAAGUAAUUUGUUUUCAUAGAUGAAGUUUUUAUCCUGGUAUUGGGAGGUCGUACACUGUCUCGAUAUAUCGUCUGAUGAUUAAACAACAUGCUGGGAACGGGGUAAGCGAUUCCAAUAUUCGUGACAUGUAAUUACUUUGUAUAUCUUACUCGAACUGUGUUAAAUUUUAACCAUGUUAUUAAUCGUGCAGUUUAUCUGGAUGCCGUAUCGGAUACCAGAAAUUGCGGCUAUUAUACACUCGUCUACCCACAUUCAUUCUCACCUGUGGUGUGUUAACGCACCAAUUAUCAAUUUCCAGACAGUCGAUUGGUAUAACGGGGAUCGAAUACUCCGGCAGUUUGGUUGCAUCCAGUAUAUCUCGGAUCUGCUAAUGCAGUUGAGGAUGAUUCACAGGAUCAAUAAGAGAGGAAAACAUGGAAAUAAUUGGGGGGUUGUGCACUGGAAAUAUAUUACAGUGUGGGAUAAUCAAAUGGCACGGAAACCUCAUAUGGAUAUUUCUUCUGAUUUGCAACCAUCGUUAGAGUACAUACAAUGGUACUCUAGUACGGAAAAACCAUAUUUACUUGGUGGGCAGUCGACUGUAGUCCCCCUGCACAUGCAUCAACCUGGGGCAUAUGAGACAAUACCGGAUAUAGAGGCCGAGCCUGAGCUUGAGCCUGAGCCUGAGCCCAAACGGUCGCAUACAUAUUCGACUGAUAGUUCUUAUCAUCUAGAGUUACGAGUCAAUGACUAUUUCCUAUGCUCGUCAGGACACGGAUAUCAUUUCGGAUUUGAUAUCUUUGGGUCGUAUCCACUGCAGUACAACACUCUUCCCAGUCCGUUUGCACCACAUUACUCUAUUCCUCUUGGGUCGUAUCCAUCGCAGUACGGCACUCCUCCCGACUCAAGUUUAUUGAUGGCGUUUGGGGUAUAUGAUUUUUCUUCCAUGUUUCGCACACCCUCACCUACGACUGAAGAGGAUGUUGAUUGCGAAAAUCACCCACAACGUGAAUUUCGACCCCGUAGAAAUAUACCCCUAUGACCACACCAUCAAACCAUCAAUUUUAGGGGCUUCUUGCAAUUUAAAUAUUACAAAGUUUGUACUUUUUUAUUCUAAAAAAAUAUAAAUUAAGAAAAAGACAAUCUUUGUAUUUAUUUAAUUAGAUUAAUUGCAACAUUAAAACUUGGAACAAACUUUCUGGUCAUAAAUUAGAUCAAUUGCAACAUUACAAUAUUAAAUCACUAAAACUUGUAACAAUUUGUAAUAUAAAUUUUGUUAUAUAAAUUAAACACAUUACAACAUUAAAAAUUGGAACAAACUUUGUAAUAUAAUUUAGGUACAUUGAAUUACAUAAGCUCAAUUCCUACCUGAUUGUGACAAUUGUCCAACAUGGUAGUUUCGUUACAGGCAUUUACUUCGAUUAUAACCAGCUAAUUUGCAUAAUCCACAACACUUACCGUCAGAUUUCUCCCUAAUGUCCAUUUCAUUACGAAUUCUGGAUGAUUGUGGACGACCUUUCGGAGUCCUACGCAACCCUUUGUUUGGGACAAGCUCGAAAAUCAUCGGAGGUACCUCCCACGUAGACAGGUUAGGCAGGACGGGGAAUUCAUUCUCCCAGACAUGCAAUGUGCGCUCGAGGGUGUACACGCCACCGAAAAAUUGUUCAACAUUGUGCAAGACUUUAACACAUACUGCCACGACAUGCGCACAUGGAUAAUGAAAUGUUUGGAUACUCCUGCAAUCGUACCGUUUGUUUCGGAGAUCAACUCCAUAGGAUCUAGGUGGUAUACUGGGUCGAUGACCGAUGGUCUCCGAAACUCAAAAUGUUUCAAGACGUCGUGAAUAUACUUUUACAUUCAUCGACCUCGCUAUCCGACGGUUUGCAACCAUUGUAUCCCUAACAUCUUCGACAAACACGUAUCCCGCCUCCAUCUGAUUGACUUGUUGCUGAUCCAUUCUUAGCAUCAAGGUAGCCAACCUGUAAAAUGUAGCCGAGAAGACAGAUGAAAUCGGAAGAUGUCAUGUUUUCAACAACACAGCGUUGAUCCCCUCCACUAAGUUUGUAGUCAUUUGACCAUAACGAAAGCCCUCGUCAAAACUUUGAGCCCAUUUUCACGGCUCCAUGGUACCCAACCACUGUCGGAAAGAUGUGUUCAUUUGACCCUCUAUGUCACUCUCAAGUCAAGUCAUUCUUUGGUGGAAAAUGUGUGGCUCUAGCUCGUGUGGUGUAUAUGUAUUAAGUAAAAAUACGUUACAUUAUUGUCCUAAAACAUUAAAACUUAUAUUGAAAAGAUAAGGUUAUCUUUUACCCAUUCUCACAACUUGUCUUCGCCAGUUUGUAUUCUUAUAAUCUCGAUAGAAGUUAGCCGCGAUGUGUUGGAUGUAGUAAACGGAUCUCCAUGGUACACUGGAACGCCUAAUGGCGACAAUUAAUCAUUUUUCUCUAUCGGAGAUAAUGUAAAUAUUAUUGUUGCUAAUAACAUACCUCCGCAGGUUGGUAAGAAAGAAUUCCCUCGAUUCCAUGUUCUCUUUAUCUACGAUGACAAAUGCUAUCUGGAGCACCUUCUUGUUGCCGUAUUGAGCAACCGCAAGAAGUAGAAUCUGUGUAUAUUUUCUGUAUAGUCAAGUACCAUCUACUUUCAUAAACGGCUUGUAAUGGGGAAAUGUACGCACACAUAGAUCAAAUGUCCAGAACAUCUGAUGGAAAUUUUUUUCCCGGUUGUAUUUGGUCAUCCGGGCCGUAAUAAGAUCGUGUCUGUAACUCAAUGACAGUCCCCGGUACGUACUCCCACAUAGCGGCUAUCCAUCCCUGUAGCUCAUUAUACGACGCAUCGAAAUCCUCAUACAAUUGCUCUAUUGCCAUCUGUUUAGCUAUCUAUGCCUUUCGGUAUGAUACUCGAGACUAGAAUCGUGCCUGCAUUUCGACAAUAAGUAUUGAAACUUUAAUGGUUGGCAUAUCCUUCACCAUUGGCAUGAUACACGUACAAAUAGUUUUGGAAUUAAGUUUUCAAUGAUCUUAUGUCAUACGUGUUGAUGUGCAUGUGUGAGGCCCAACAAAUUUUCGUAUCUCCCACAUCUGCGAAUUUUGAAUAAAUGCAGCUCGUACCUGCCAAUUGCAGCCUCCCGCCGACUUUCAACACUCCCCAAUAUAUAAUGUCAGUUUAGACACUACGACUUUGUAGUCCACUAAUAUAUUCAUGUUAUACCGCUUAAUAUCAAAUACGUACUCUUCCUUACUUUUGAAUCCUUGGCCUACAAAAAACUCUUUAGGAUCGAAAUUUACAGCCUACUGGUGAGCAUAUAGUAUUUCAGGGUACUCCGAGAACUCGGCUACGUGCGUCGUGUUGGGGUCUAUGAGCAACAUGUGUGGCCUAGGAUUAUUGUGUGGCUUAGGUUCCCAACUGAAGACGCGUUAAUGUUUCCAUCAUCAUUCACGUCUUCUUCGUUAAUAUCAUCGGGGAACUCGUCCACAUCGGGAUCACUAUCAUUAUCGACCUCUUGAUCACAAGGAUCACUAUUAUCGUAUCCACCAUCACCAACCACAUUAAUAUCCGGUGCAACAUUAAGAUCGAUAUCGAUCCCGUGUGUAGUCGAUUCACAAUCAACAUACAAUAUUGGAGCCACCAUGCACGAUUUUUGAGCUCCAUGUUCUUCACCAUAUGCAUUGAGAUAUUCAUUUGCCUCCACACCGACUAACUUAGCAAAUAAGUGGUUCGGUGCAUUUUGGUCACUCCGAUUUCCACAAAAAGAGCGAUAAUUGUCUCAACGUCUUCAUCGUCUACAAGUUCUAUUUCGUUGAAUUUGAUGGGAUCUGUCGAAACUGGAAACUUGUAGAAAUGUUUCGAGAUCCUUCUUCCACAACGUCUAACAAUUUUUGUGCUAAUCUUUUCCUUCAUAUCAUCGAAUGAGACAUUUUUAUUAAAUCUCAUUGCUAUUUUUUGCCGACAUUCAAAUAUACAUCCAACGAUUGUUGUCAAGAUGAUUCCAUCGAAAUAAACGCAUACGAAAAAUUGAUUAUCCAUCUUCAAUACUUAAUCUGUUAAAAAAUAAACAAAAAUUCUCAAAACAAUUUCGAACAACAUAAAAAUACUUACAUAAAAAAUUUAAUGAAUGAAAAGAGACCAUUUCUAACAAUAUCUAUGACAAAAAUAUUUUCAGUAUUUAUCUAUUUUUUUCCUGUUGUUAUCACUAACUAACAAUUACUUUAUAAUAGUUACUAACAUAAAAACUUUCAAAUAUAUUAAAAAAAUUUAAAACAUAACAUUCUCAAUAAUCUAAACACAAAACUUACUAACAAAUCACAAUAAACAAAAUAACUUUAAAACAAAACAUAAAAAUAACACUAAACAAACUAUCUAAUACUAACAAAAUAAAUUUUUCUUUUCAUAAUCUAUUAUAUUUAAACAUAAAAAUAAAAAUAAUAAUACCUUUUUCUUUCUUCUAUUGUCCUUCUCUUGUUCUACUAAUAUUUUUUUUUAAACUGAUACGAGCCAGAUGGGGGAGUGGGGGGAAAUAUACUAGGUGUGCCGCCUAUCAAAUAGGUACCACCAGUGCCGCCUAUCAGAUAGGCACCACACCCCUUUUGUAUUUUUGUACCCGUAUAUAUCCGAAUGGAAAAGUGGUGUCACCUAUCCCUUUGUCACCACUACUAAAAUAUUAUUAAUAUUAUUAUUAACUAUACUGUGUCAGAAUGAGGGUAGGGCUGCCUAUGUACCACCCUCCACCCAUUUGAAUGUACCAUUUUAGUACAUAAUUGUUGCAACAUGCCAUUUUGAUAUUUUUUUAUAUUAUUUAUGUAAAAAACAAGUAUAUUGUUAAAAAAUAUAAAUAUAAAUUCACCUUGGUGAUUGAGGCAAUGGUCACUUUGUCUCAUUUAUGUUUAAACUCAAUAAAGCACACUUAUGAUGGCAACUUUCCCUUAAACACUGUCAAUUCCAAGUAAUUAUUUGGUAAAUUGGUAAUAUAAUUUAAGAAUUUAUUUUAUGGACUCUUUCCACUACAUCAAUAAUGGUUAUUUUUUAAUUAUUUAAUAAUAUUUUAACAAUUUUUAUAUGUCAUUGACAUAAAAUUUUGAUAUUUGUUUACCUUGAAUGCUGAACCUAAACCCGAACCUAAAAUUUCAAAUCUUAAACUCGAACUCAAACCUUGAACCUCGAAACCAAAUCUUGAAUCCAAGUUUAUGGUUUAAGGUUAAAGAUUCAGGAUUCAGGUUUAGGAUUCGAGAUUCAUGGUUCAAGGUAAAAAAUUUACCAAAAUUAUGUGUCAAUGACAUAAAAAAUUUUGUUGAAAUGUCAUUAAAUAAUUGAAAAAUGGGUCAUGGAUUAUAUAGUAGGAAAAAUUUAUAAAAUAAUUUCUCGUAUAAUUUUAUUAGUGAAUCAAAUGAUGACUCAAUAUUUAAAUAAUUUAAAAUUAAAUUCACCUCAUUUUAUUUCUCAGAGAUAAAUAUUAAAAUUUAUACGAAAAUGUAUAAUUUAAGUUUGAUAUUUAUUGCUAUUUCUAAUGAUGUGACGUCGUUCAAUAAAUUAAUAGCGAAUCAAAUAAUAUCCCUACUCAAAAAAGUGUUGGGCUGAUAACUAAAACGAAUAUGGCCCAAGCAUCAAAACACUAUUACGAAACUACGACGUCGUUUCUUAUGAAGUCAACAAAGUCAAAAGGCCCUUUUAGCAAUGGCCCGAGAGCCCUAAAAUCCCAAGUCCACAGCAAACCUGGCAGGUUCUUCUUCUCCUCUCUCCGGCUUCCUUCCACAGUUCCAUUGGCUCUCUCUCCCCUACCUCUAUCUUCAACAUGAAGCUCGUCAGGUCAUUUUAUGCUAUAAAAAUUUCGUUUCUUUGUGUUUGCGAAGUGAAUGUGUAGCAAAAUUUAAAAAAACAAAAAUCAUUUUUGAUUCUUAAUAUAUGAUUUUGAAAUGUCGUGAGCAGGUUUUUAAUGAAGUUGAACAAUGAAACGGUGUCCAUUGAGCUUAAGAAUGGAACCGUUGUUCACGGUACCAUCACAGGUUCCACCUCUUUCCUCUUUCUCCUUUCCUUUUUUUUCCCGAAUUUAAGGGUUUAGCUAAACCCUAAACCCUCCGUUUAGCGAAUUUGUGAAACCUUGAUAUCCAAAAAGAAAUCUUGCAAUGUGCCAUAGGCAGUGAAGGUUUAUUUCAUAAUUUAAAUCUCAAUUGCGUUUUUUUUUGUGGCUGGACUAUUUGGUUAAAUUAGUUACUAUCUUUAAAAUUGGGGGAUCGAUUUAGGUGUUGUAUUAUAUAUUUAAGGUGAAUUGGUAUUGGACCUAUGAUUAUGGUAGUUUUGAUGUAUUGGAUUAGUGAUUCUUCUAAUCACAUCGAGUUUAGUAAUGAAUCAGCAAUCCGUUAGGUGAGCCUCUGGAAUUUGGUGAUUUUGGUAUGGCAGCCGGUGGUGAUUUUGGUGGCCAGAAUUUGGAAAUUGAGGGGGUUAGAAAUAGAAUCAAUAGAGAGCAAAAGGUCUCCUAAAUGCCACAUCAUUCAUACUAUGUUGAUAUUUUCCCACGUCAUUAACACACGUGUCUAUUGAAUCCGUGUUACCAUACCACAUGUAUGCAGCUGUAGGGUUGUAAAUGAACCAAGCUUGAACUAAUAGGCUUCUGUUCAUGUUCAUUUGUUUUUUUUAAGUUGUUCAUGUUCGGUUCAUUUUCAUUAAAAUUUUCAGAAUUGUGUUCAUGUUUGUAUAAGUGUUCAUGGUUGUUCAUUUAAGUUAAACGAACAAGUUCAUGAAUAUUAAACAAACAUGUCCAUGAAUAUGUUCAUGAAGUGUUCAUCGAACGCCUUGUUCAUUUACAGCACUAUGCAACUGUGCUAGAUAAUAGCAAUUUCUUGCCUGACUAGUCAAUUGAACUUGUUUUUACUUAAUUUUGAAAGCUUGUACAUGCAUAUACUGCAAAAUAAUAAAAGAUUAUAGGUUUAUUUACGGGCAAUAAGAUUUCAACAGCAUAGUUUCUUUUGCUUAUUAAAAGUUGAGGGUAUGUUUGUAUAUUAAGCCCGUAUUGCCCUACACCUGUUGGCAUGCAAAUUUUCAUGACUGGUUUAAUUUGCUACAUUUCUUUUAGGUGUGGAUAUCAGUAUGAACACCCAUCUGAAAACCGUGAAACUCACUUUGAAAGGGAAAAAUCCGGUCACUUUAGAUCACCUUAGCGUGCGGGGUAACAAUAUUCGUUACUAUAUCCUGCCUGACAGCUUAAAUCUUGAGACGCUGCUAGUUGAAGAGACACCUAGGGUGAAACCUAAGAAGCCAACAGCUGGUAUUUGCCGUUUCUCUCCUGCUGUUUUCCCAUGUGUUCUUAAUCCUACUUGUAUAAGCUUGUUUUUCUUGUAGUAUUGAUCUCUCUUAUGCAUUUCCAAAUUCAGGGAAGCCUUUGGGACGUGGUCGGGGUCGUGGCCGUGGGCGUGGACGUGGUCGGGGCCGUUAAAUAUGCACUGUAUUUUUGGGACUGCUGGAUAUGGAGACAGCUUUGUUGUAGGGUGAAUUCCUUUGGUGAUGUUACGAAUACUAUAGGGAAAUUGUAUUGGGAUUUUUGUAUUUUGUGAGAUUUUUGGCCUGGUUUGGAUAGCUUAAUCAUGAAAACCUGAGAUUCCUUGAACUUUUUCUUUUUAAAUUAUUAUUUUCAAAAUCUGCCCUUAUAGGAUCUGAACAAGUCAGAAACUAUUGAAUUCGGAUUAAUAGUAAAAAGAAUAAUUUGAUUAGAUU